AGAGUUUGAUCCUGGCUCAGAUUGAACGCUGGCGGCAUGCCUAACACAUGCAAGUCGAACGGUAACAGGAGAGAGCUUGCUCUCUUGCUGACGAGUGGCGGACGGGUGAGUAAUGCAUAGGAAUCUGCCCAGUAGUGGGGGACAACUCGGGGAAACUCGAGCUAAUACCGCAUACGCCCUACGGGGGAAAGCGGGGGAUCUUCGGACCUCGCGCUAUUGGAUGAGCCUAUGUCAGAUUAGCUUGUUGGUAGGGUAAUGGCCUACCAAGGCAACGAUCUGUAGCUGGUCUGAGAGGACGAUCAGCCACACUGGGACUGAGACACGGCCCAGACUCCUACGGGAGGCAGCAGUGGGGAAUAUUGGACAAUGGGGGCAACCCUGAUCCAGCAAUGCCGCGUGUGUGAAGAAGGCCUGCGGGUUGUAAAGCACUUUCAAUUGUGAAGAAGUUGAUAAGUUUAAUACGCUUGUCAAUUGACGUUAACUUUAGAAGAAGCACCGGCUAACUCUGUGCCAGCAGCCGCGGUAAUACAGAGGGUGCGAGCGUUAAUCGGAAUUACUGGGCGUAAAGCGCGCGUAGGCGGUUAGAUAAGUCAGAUGUGAAAUCCCCGGGCUCAACCUGGGAACUGCAUCUGAUACUGUUUGACUAGAGUUUGGGAGAGGGAAGUAGAAUUUCAGGUGUAGCGGUGAAAUGCAUAGAGAUCUGAAGGAAUACCAGUGGCGAAGGCGACUUCCUGGCCUAAAACUGACGCUGAGGUGCGAAAGCGUGGGUAGCAAACGGGAUUAGAUACCCCGGUAGUCCACGCCGUAAACGAUGUCAACUAGUCGUUGGACCCCUUGAGGGUUUAGUGACGCAGCUAACGCAUUAAGUUGACCGCCUGGGGAGUACGGUCGCAAGACUAAAACUCAAAGGAAUUGACGGGGGCCCGCACAAGCGGUGGAGCAUGUGGUUUAAUUCGAUGCAACGCGAAGAACCUUACCAUCCCUUGACAUCCUCAGAACUUGUAAGAAAUUACUUGGUGCCUUCGGGAACUGAGUGACAGGUGCUGCACGGCUGUCGUCAGCUCGUGUCGUGAGAUGUUGGGUUAAGUCCCGCAACGAGCGCAACCCUCGUGACUAGUUACUAACGGUUCGGCCGAGGACUCUAGUCAGACUGCCUUCGUAAGGAGGAGGAAGGUGAGGACGACGUCAAGUCAUCAUGGCCCUUACGGCUAGGGCAACACACGUGCUACAAUGGCCAGGACAAUGAGACGCGAUACCGCGAGGUGGAGCAAAUCUAUAAACCUGGUCUCAGUUCGGAUUGUAGUCUGCAACUCGACUACAUGAAGCUGGAAUCACUAGUAAUCGUAGAUCAGCUAUGCUACGGUGAAUACGUUCCCGGGUCUUGUACUCACCGCCCGUCACACCAUGGGAGUUGAUUUCACCUGAAGCGGGGAAGCUAAACUGGCUACCCUCCACGGUGGAAUCAGCGACUGGGGUGAAGUCGUAACAAGGUAACCA
This 1497-nucleotide ribosomal RNA is filed under the name uncultured bacterium. RNAcentral's name for it is "partial 16S ribosomal RNA". It matches the Rfam family "Bacterial small subunit ribosomal RNA". The record is from RNAcentral.